GACGAACGCUGGCGGCGUGCUUAACACAUGCAAGUCGAACGGUGAAGCGCUUGCCUUUUUGGUGGGUGUGGAUGAGUGGCGAACGGGUGAGUAACACGUGAGUAACCUGCCCUCUUCUUCUGGAUAACCUCAUGAAAGUGGGGCUAAUACGGGGUAUUCCGGGUCUGUCGCAUGGCGGGUUUGGGAAAGAUUGCGCCUUUGGGUGUUUUCGGUGGGGGAUGGGCUCGCGGCCUAUCAGCUUGUUGGUGGGGUGAUGGCCUACCAAGGCGGUGACGGGUAGCCGGCCUGAGAGGGUGGACGGCCACACUGGGACUGAGACACGGCCCAGACUCCUGCGGGAGGCAGCAGUGGGGAAUAUUGCACAAUGGGCGCAAGCCUGAUGCAGCGACGCCGCGUGAGGGAUGGAGGCCGUCGGGUUGUGAACCUCUUUCGCCAGUGAAGCAGGCCUGCUCCUGUGUGGGUGGGUUGACGGUAGCUGGAUAAGAAGCGCCGGCUAACUACGUG
Molecule: ribosomal RNA, 504 nt
Filed under: uncultured bacterium
Lineage: Bacteria
Description: partial 16S ribosomal RNA
Rfam family: Bacterial small subunit ribosomal RNA
Source: RNAcentral